CCUACGGGAGGCAGCAGUGGGGAAUAUUGGACAAUGGGCGCAAGCCUGAUCCAGCCAUGCCGCGUGUGUGAAGAAGGCCUUCGGGUUGUAAAGCACUUUUGUACGGGAAGAAACACGGCCGGUGAAUACCCGGCCGGACUGACGGUACCGUAAGAAUAAGCACCGGCUAACUUCGUGCCAGCAGCCGCGGUAA
Molecule: ribosomal RNA, 193 nt
Filed under: uncultured Lysobacter sp.
Lineage: Bacteria; Pseudomonadati; Pseudomonadota; Gammaproteobacteria; Lysobacterales; Lysobacteraceae
Description: partial 16S ribosomal RNA
Rfam family: Bacterial small subunit ribosomal RNA
Source: RNAcentral